Molecule: ribosomal RNA, 279 nt
Filed under: uncultured bacterium
Lineage: Bacteria
Description: partial 16S ribosomal RNA
Rfam family: Bacterial small subunit ribosomal RNA
Source: RNAcentral
UGCCAGCCGCCGCGGUAAUACGGAGGGUGCAAGCGUUGUUCGGAAUUAUUGGGCGUAAAGCGAGUGUAGGCGGUCAGGUUAGUCAAGUGUGAAAUCCCGAGGCCCAACCUCGGAACUGCACUCGAUACUGCCUGGCUAGAGUCCCGGAGAGGGUGGCGGAAUUCCCGGUGUAGGGGUGAAAUCCGUAGAUAUCGGGAGGAACACCAGUGGCGAAGGCGGCCACCUGGACGGUGACUGACGCUGAGACUCGAAAGCGUGGGGAGCGAACAGGAUUAGAUA